RNAcentral lists this ribosomal RNA (437 nucleotides) under uncultured bacterium. RNAcentral's name for it is "bacterial SSU rRNA". It matches the Rfam family "Bacterial small subunit ribosomal RNA", at positions 355 to 788 of the family's 1533-position model. The record is from RNAcentral.
UGAGGAAUAUUGGUCAAUGGACGAAAGUCUGAACCAGCCAUGCCGCGUGAAGGAAUAAGGCCCUAUGGGUCGUAAACUUCUUUUGUAUGUGAGCAAUAAGGUCCACGUGUGGACCGAUGAGAGUAUGCGUAGAAUAAGCAUCGGCUAACUCCGUGCCAGCAGCCGCGGUAAUACGGGGGGAUGCGAGCGUUAUCCGGAUUCAUUGGGUUUAAAGGGUGCGUAGGCGGCUUUGCAAGUCAGCGGUGAAAGGCCCGGGCUCAACCCGGAAAGUGCCGUUGAUACUGUGAGGCUGGAAUGCGGAUGCUGUGGGAGGAAUGAGUGGUGUAGCGGUGAAAUGCAUAGAUAUCACUCAGAACACCGAUUGCGAAGGCAUCUCACAAAUCCGCAAUUGACGCUGAGGCACGAAAGCGUGGGGAUCGAACAGGAUUAGAUACCCU